ACAAGGCGUAGCUUACCACCCAAAGCCCUCAACUUACAAUUGAGAAACGUCUAUCACAAGACCGCCUUGA
This 70-nucleotide transfer RNA is filed under the name Coleonyx variegatus. Its description in RNAcentral is "tRNA-Val". The record is from RNAcentral. Lineage: Eukaryota; Metazoa; Chordata; Lepidosauria; Squamata; Eublepharidae.